Molecule: long non-coding RNA, 1814 nt
Organism: Solanum lycopersicum (tomato)
Lineage: Eukaryota; Viridiplantae; Streptophyta; Magnoliopsida; Solanales; Solanaceae
Source: RefSeq, a predicted model, not a curated record
ACAUUUCCCUCAACAUCAUCAGCUCUUGGAGCUCUCUUGGAGUUCAUCUUCUUCAUCGGAUUUGUUAAGUUUUCUGGGAGGCUUUGCAGGAUAUCAUUCUCAUUAUCCUCAUGGUUUGUGCUGUUGUCUCCAUUAGUGUGGGAUUUGCCACGGAAGGCUGGCCAAAAGGAACGUACGAUGGACUAGGUGUUCUGCUUAGUAUAUUCUUGGUAGUCGUUGUUGCUGCAAUUAGUGAUUAUAGGCAGUCGUUGCAGUUCAGGGAUUUGGAUAAGGAGAAGAAAAAUAUACUUAUCCAGGUAACAAGAGAUGGAUUUGUUGCGGUUCCAGAAGGACUGCCUCUGGCAGUGACAUUGAGUCUUGCGUUUGCAAUGAAAAAGUUAAUAGAUAACAAGGCAUUGGUGAGACAUCUUUCCUCAUGUGAGACGAUGGGAUCAGCUACUUGCAUCUGCACAGAUAAGACAUGAACACUAACAACAAACCGAAUGGUGGUUAACAAGAUAUGGAUUUGUGAAAAACGAAAAAGGUAGAAACUGAUGCAGGUCGGGAUGCAAUAACUUUGAAUAUACGUGAAAAUGAAAUGACAUUGCUUCUGCAGGCAAUAUUUCACAAUACGGUAGCAGAGGUUGUUAAGGAUAAGGGCGAAAAGAAAUCUAUUCUCGGUACACCAACAGAAUCAGCAAUAUUAGAAUAUGGAUUGCUUCUUGGUGGUGAUAUUGGCAAGCAAAGAAGGGGAUGUAAACUGCUGAAGGUUGAGCCUUUCAAUUCGGAAAAGAAAAAGAUGUCUGUGCUUAUUGCGCUCCCAGAUGGAAACAGCCGACCUUUCUGCAAGGGUGCAGCCGAGAUAAUCUUUAAAAUGUGUGGUGUAAAUGAAUGGUUCCUGAAAUGCUCGAAUCUUGAAUGUAGGUGAUCGCUCGAGCAUCACCAAUGGACAAGCUUGUGUUGGCUACAGAACCACCACAUGAAGAACUAAUAAACAGACCUCCUGUUGGAAGGGAAGUGAGUUUGAUUUCCAAGACGAUGUGGAGAAAUAUAAUCGGACAAAGUAUCUUCCAACUAGCUAUACUUUUAGUUUUCAACUUCACUGGAAAGCAGAUUCUGAGGCUUGAAGGCAGAUGCUACCAUAGUUCUCAAUAGUUUCAUUUUCAACACAUUUGUUUUAUAUCAGGUUUUUAAUGAAAUAAACAGUAGUGACAUGGAGAAGAUAAAUGUGUUCCGUGGCAUUUUUGGAAGCUGGAUAUUCGUCGGUGUCAUAACUUCCACUGUCGUUUUCCAAGUUAUCAUCGUUGAGUUCUUAGGCACGUUGGCAAGCACUACACCGCUCAGCUGGAAACUAUGGCUACUCAGUGUUUUAAUUGGUGCUGCAAGCUUGAUAGUUGCAGUAAUAUUGAAGUUGAAACCUGUUGAACAUAAGAAUAAGCAUCAUGAUGGUUAUAAUCUACUACCAAAUGGUCCAGAACUCGUCUAAGAGAAAGGAAGAUCAAACCAACGCGAUAUGGAAUGGCUUGUUUUUCUAUUCAAAGAUCAGCGCCCUGGCUCUGUGUUUUCACAUCGAGAAGUCAAAAGGACAUACAUAUGGUUUAAUUGGUCAAGGUUUGAGUGCGUGAGAAAAGGAAAAGAAACAACCAAAUACAAAGAAAAUACAAGCUGAAGACUUUAAAUUAAGUCUCGAAAUUGUAUUUUGAUGUAAUGUUAGCAAUCUGCAGGUUACAACUAAUGUAAUGUCAUUGUGUUUUGCUUGUAGAAAAUUGUUAGUAAUCGUGUUAAUAUCUUGAUUGUAAUGGAAAAGCUCUUUGCAAUCUGCAUUUUACCAUUUA